CGCCUAUGCAUAAGGACAGGGCACGAUCGCAGAGGGACGGCUCCGUCGAUCUGCCUCCAGGGGCGUACAUGGGAGGGGCUGCGUCGAGCCGCCGUGUCCAUCUCGCCGCCCAGCGCCUCAUCCCCUCCGGCCGCCCAGAUCCCCUCGCCAUCUUGCAGGUCCAGCCCAACCACGACACGGCCGAUGUCAAGCGGGCCUCGCUGUUAUGGCCAUCUUCGUGCCGUUGGGUCCUCCGCGCCGCCGAUGCCUAGGCCGACCCAACGUGCGCCGCCCGCACCCCGCGCUCGACGGCCGGGGGCUCUGCCGCCCAUGAUAGUGAGCACGCUCCAGCCUGGCUCACCAUGCGCCAUCUUCCCUGACGGCUGAGGGUGGCCACCCCAUGACCUACCUGGCGGACGAGUUUGGGACGGGUCCAAGGUUCUUCGCCGAAGUCAAUGGCUUCACGAGCCCAACGACCAGAAGCAGGCAUCCAUCGAGGAAGGGCUCGAGCCGAGAGCGCUGCCUCCGUCGGUCUCUGGCUCCCUAGCCGGUUUCCGCUAUCCGGUGUCACUAUCUGAUCCUCGCAGGCCCUCUUCCCCUCCUCCGUUCCUUAACAAAAACAUUGUUGGUUAGUAAGUCUGCCGCGUGUACACGAGUACGAGCAAUGGAUGUUUGUGAAGGCUAUGAGAUACUGGAAAUCAAGGAGCUAAUUGUUUGGGUCACUUGACUGAAUUGUAACUGCACCAUUUGAGGCGAUUUUGCCCUGGUUUUGCUGGGUGGUGAGGUGGUUUAUGGGAGUUGCUGAGUUGGUGGAAGAUUGGGGCAUUUGCAUAUGGUUGGUACUGAGGAGGACUGUGCUGCUGGAGUGGGAAGCAGGAGAGCAACCGUUGGGAUCUUGGAUUUUUUUCCCCGAGCAGAAUGUGGACUUACUACCUUCAUAUUGAAGAUUCAGCAGUUGGAAGCUGAUGUAACAUGUCAGAAGUUCUCCAUUCCUGCAUAAAUGGACUACAUCAUCAACCUGCACUGUUAAGGUCAUGCUUAAUUGCUUAUAGACGAUCUAGGUUCAGAUUGUGAAGUAGGAACACUCGAAUUGUGAAUUUACUUAAAACAAUACCAUGUAUUCUUGACACUUUCUCUGAUUCUUCACGUGAAGUUGAAGAAAAGGAAAGAGAACACUUAUUCAUUCAGGAAAAACUGGAUAUGGAGCUGCAAGAUCUAAGGGGGUGUUUGGUUCAGAAGUCCUCAGACUUUUUCUAGUCCCAGGACUAAUCAAAAAAGACUCUCUAGUAGAGUCUUUUUCUAGUUCCUGUAGAAAAAGUCCCUCCUGUUUGGUUUCUAGAGACUUUUUGGGGACUUUUUCUAGUCUCUGGGACUAAAAAGUCUCUGAACCAAACACCCCCUAAAUGAAGGACUUCGGGAUGGUACUGUAAUUGUUCAUAUGCGAAUUUACAACUUGUCUGGCUAGACCUAUGUUCUGAAUAAUCUUCAUUCCUC
This is a long non-coding RNA of Triticum aestivum (bread wheat), 1473 nucleotides long. RefSeq lists it as uncharacterized. The transcript has 3 exons. NCBI's taxonomy places the organism in Eukaryota, Viridiplantae, Streptophyta, Magnoliopsida, Poales, Poaceae. The record is from RefSeq and is a predicted model, not a curated record.